Molecule: long non-coding RNA, 5568 nt
Filed under: Homo sapiens (human)
Lineage: Eukaryota; Metazoa; Chordata; Mammalia; Primates; Hominidae
Description: HSALNT0119450
Source: RNAcentral
CUGUUCAUAUCCUCCUCUCUUAUUGUCUCCAUUGAAAAAUCAUCUCUAUAAUUGCAAGGCUACUCAUUCACAAGAUAUAAAUAUGAUAUAUAAUAUAUUUUUAUUUAUUACCCAUAUGUAACUUAGAAAAAAGAGAUUUUUGGCUCUUUGAAGUAGUAGAACAUUUUUUAAAAUAAUGGGAAUUUCCAUACAUGCCAGCAACUUAACUCAGCUUUUUCGUACAUGCCUAUAACUAGGAGAGUUUAGGACAAGAAUGUGGGUAAGUAGGCUACUUAUUUUCAUUUCCAUGAAGAUUGAUUAAAGAGCAUGAGUUGAGUCAUACUUAUAAGUAAUGAUUUUUUAAAUUUUCCUUUUCUUCUAUUUUCCUUGGUAGUAGGUGCUUAACGAUAUUUAUUUACAUUAAAAAAAAUGUAGCUACGAUUCUUGUUUCUCAUUAACCAAGAGAACCAACACAACUUUUCAAAAUUAAGCUGGCCGUUCAAAUACAAGGAAGCUAAACAACAUACUUCCGAAUGACCAAUAGGUCAACUAAGAAAUUAAGAAGAAAACUUUAACAUUUCUUGAAACAAAUGAAAAUGGCAACCCAACAUACAGAAUAUGUGGGAUCCAGCAAAAGCUGUACUAAAAGGGAAGUUUUAUAGCAAUAACUGUCUACAUCCAAAAACAGAAAAACUUAAAUAACCUAAUGAUGAACCUCAAGGAACUAGAAAAACAAGAAAAACCCAAAUAACUAGAAAGAAAUGAUAAAUAUCAAAACAGAAAUAACUGGAAAUGAGAGGAAAAACUACAAAAGAUCAACAAAACAAAAAGUUGAAUUUUUUGAAAAGGUAAAUAGAAAUGACAAAUCUUUAGCUACACUAAGAAAAAAACACAAACAAAAUCAGAGGUGAAAAAGGAAUCAUUACAACUGAUACCACGGAAAUACAAAGAAUCAUUAGUAACUGCUAUGAAAAACUACAUGCCAACAAAUUGGAAAACAUGUAAGAAAUGGAUAACGAUUGGAUACAUAAAACCUGCCAAAACUGAACCAUGAAGAAAUUAAAAAACUCGAAGUGACCAAUGGUAACUAAAGAAAUCAAAGCAGUAAAAAUAAUAAUAAUAAUAUCCUAUCACAGAAAAGCCCAGGACCUGACUGAUUGACUGCUGAAUUCUACUAAACAUUUAAAGAACUAAUACCAAUUUUACUCAAACUAUUUGAAAAAAUUGAAAAGAAGGGAAUAUUUCCAAACAAAUUAUUUGAAGCCAGCAUUACCCCAAUACCAAAACCAAAUAAGGACGCAAAAACAAAAGAAAAAUAGCUAUAGGCCAAUAUCCGUGAUAAACACAGAUGUAAAAAUCCUCAACAAAAUACUUGCAAACUGAAUUCAGCAACACAAUAAACAGAUCAUUCACCAUGAUCAAGUGGAACUAAUCCCAGAGAUGCAAAGAUGUUUCCACAUAUGCAAAUCAAUAAAUAUGACAUAUCACAUCAACAGAAUCAAGGACAAAAAUGUGAUCAUUUUAAUCAGUGAUGAAACAGUGUGCAAUUAAAUUCAACAUCCCUUUGUAAUAAGAACUCUUAACAAAUUGGGUACAGAAGGAAUAUAUCUCAACAUGAUAAAGGCCAUAUAUGACAAACUCACAGCUGUUAUUCUGAAUGGUAAAAUAAUGAAAACUUUUCCACUAAAAUCUUGAACAAAACAAGUAUUCACACUUUCGGCUGGGUGCGGUAGCUCAUGCCUGUAAUCCCAGCACUUUGGGAAGCCAAGGCAGGCAGAUUACCUGAGGUUGGGAGUACAAGACCACCCUGACCAACAUGGAGAAACCCAUCUCUACUAAAAGUACAAAAUUAGCCCAGUGUGGUGGCACAUGCCUGUAAUCACAGCUACUCCGGAGGCUGAGGCAGGAGAACUGCUUGAACCUGGGAAGUGGAGGUUACGGUGAGCCAAGGUGGCACCAUUGCACUCCAGCCUGAGCAACAACAGUGAAACUUCAUCUUGGAAAAAAAAAAAAAAACCAGUAUGCACACUUUCACCACUUCUAUUCAACAUACCACUGGAAGCUCUUUCCAUAGCAAUCACAAAAGAGAAAUAAAUGGAGAUCAAAAUUGGAAAGGAUGAGAAUAAAUGAAACUUGUUUGUAGACAACAUGAUCUUAUGUUUAUGAAAACCUAAAGACUGAAGCAAAAAACUCUUAGAACUGAUAAAAGAAUUCAGUAAAGUUGCAGGACGCAAAAUCAACAUACAAGAAAAAUCAGUAGGAUUUUUAUAUGCUAACAGUGAUCAGCCUAAGAAAGAAAUCAAGAAAGCAAUAUUGUUUAUAAUAGCUACAAAAAACACCCAGGAAUAAAUUUAACAAAAGAAGUGAAAGAUCUCUACAAGGAGGAUUAUAAAACACUAACAAAAUAAAUUGACGAGAACCUCCCCCAAAUGGAAAGAUAUCUCAUGCUUAUGAAUUGAAAGAAUUAAUAUUGUUAAAAUGUCUAUAUUAGGUAAAGAAGCUUCAAUGCAAUACCCAUCAAUACCAGUGUCAUUCUUGACAGAAAUGGAAAAAAAAUCCUAAAAUUCAUAUAUAAGCAGGAAAGACCCCAAAUAGCUAAAAACACCCAAAGCAAAAAGAGCAAAGCUGGAGGCAUCACACUACCCGAUUUGAAAUUAUACUACAAAGCUAUAGUAACCAAAACAACAUGAUACUAGCAUAAGAACAGACACACAGAGAAAUGGAAUGGAGCCCAGAACCCAGAAAUAAAUCCAUACACUUACAGCCACCUCAUUUUUGACAAGGCACCAAGAACUAGAAAGUCUCUCUCUCUCUCUUUUUUUUUUUUUUUUUUUUUUUUUUGAGACAGAGUUUCACUCUUGUCACCCAGGCUGGAGUGCAAUGACACGAUCUCUGCUAACUGCAACCUCUGCCUCCCAGGUUCAAGUGAUUCUCCUGCCUCAGCCUCCUGAGUAGCUGGGAUUACUGUCACCAUGCCUAACAAAUUUUUGUAUUUUUAGUAGAGACGAGAUUUCACCAUGUUGUCCAGGAUGGUCUCGAACUCCUGACCUCAGGUGAUCUGCCCGCCUUGGCUUUCCAAAGUGCUGAGAUUACAGGCAUGAGCCACCACGCCCAGCCAGGAAGUCUCUUUAAUAAAUACUGCUUGGAAAACUGUGUAUCCCUAUGCAGAAGAAUAAAAUUAUAUCUCCAUCUUUCAACAUAUAUAAAAAUCAACUCAAAAUGGAUUAGAGACUUAAAUAUAAGACUGGAAACUAUAAAACUAGUCAAUAAAAACAUUGAAGAAAUGCUACAGAACAUUGAUCUGGCCAAAGGUUUUUUUGGUAAGACUUCAAAAGCACAGGCACCCAAAGCAAAAAUUUAAAAAUGGUAUUACCUCAAGCUAAAAAGCUUCUGCUCACAAAGGAAACAAUCAACAAAGUGAAGAGAGAAGCCACAGAAUGGGAAAAAACAUUUGCAAAGUAUUCAUCUAAUGAGGUAUUAAUACCCAGAGAAUAAAUAAGGAAUUCAAACAACCCAAUAGCAAAAUAUUAAUAAUAAUAUGAUCAAAAAGUGGGGAAAAGAUCAGAAUUGACUUUUCUCAAAAGAAGACAUACAAAUGGCCAACAAAUACAGAAAAAAAAGACUCAACAUCACUAAUCAUCAGGGAAAUGCAAAUAAAAACCACAGUGGGAUAUCAUUGUACUUCAGUUAGAAUGGCAUUAUAAAAAGAUUAAAAAAUAACAAAUGGUGACAAGGAUGAGGAGGAAAGGGAACACUCUUACAACUACUGGUGGCAAUUUAAAGUAGUACAGCCAUUAUGGAAAACAGUAUGGAAGUUCCUCAAAAAACUAAAAAUUGGGCUACCUUAUGACCCAGCAAUCACACCACAUAUGUCCAAAAGAGAGGAAAUUGGUAUAUUGAAGAGAUAUCUGCACUCACAUACAUAUCACAGCGCUAUUCACAAUAGUGGAUACAUAGAAUCAACUAAGUGUCCACUAACAAAUGAAUAGAUAAAUGUGGUAUAUAUAUAUAUAUAUACACAGCUGAAUUUAUAUAUAUAUAUAUAUACACACACAGAACUGUAUGUAUAUAUAGAACUGUAUAUAUGUAAUUUGUAGCAACAUGAACACAACUGGAGGUCAUAAUAGUAAGUAAAAUCAACCAGUUACAGAAAGACAAACACUGAAUAUUCUUUCUCAUAUGUGGAAGCUAAAAAGUGGAUUUUUUUUUUUUUUUGAGACGAAGUUUUGCUUUUGUCAUCCAGGCUGGAGUGCAAUGGCACAAUCUCGGCUCACUGCAACCUCCGCCUCCCAGGUUCAAGUGAUUCUCCUGCCUCAGCCUCCCAAGUAGCUGGGAUUACAGGCACGCACCACCAUGCCAGGCUCAUUUUUGUAUUUUUAGUAGAGAUGAGGUUUCACCAUGUUGGCCAGGCUGGCCUCGAACUCCUAACCUCAGGUGAUCCACUUGCCUCCACCUCCCAAAGUGCUGGGAUUACAGGCAUGAGCCCCAAUGCCUGGCCUAAAAAGCAGAUCUUAUGAAGGUAGAGAAUAGAAUAGGGGUGAUAUGGUUUGAAUUUGUGUCCCCGCCCAAAUCUCAUGUCGAAUUGCAAUCCCCAAUAUUGGAGGAGGGGCCUGGUGGGAGGUGAUUGGAUCAUGGGGCUGGAUUUCCCCCUUGCUGUUCUUGUGAUACUGAGUUCUCAGGAUAUCUGGUUGUUUUCAAAGUGUGUAGCACUUCCCUCUUUACUCUCUCUUCCUCCUGCUCCAGCCAUGUAGGAUGUGCCUGCUUCCCCUCUGCCAUGAUUUUAAGUUUCCUGAGGCUCCCCCAGUCAUCUUUCCUGUACAGCCUAUGGAACCAUGAGCCAGUUAAACCUCUUUUCUUUAUAAAAUGCCAAGUCUCAGCUUUAAUGCUAUCAAUGAGAACAAGAAUAUUUGGCUUAUCUUCAACAUCUUCAUACCAUCAGAUAACUCCAAAGUUAACACAGGAUACGUCAUCCACAUUGCUGCCAGAGCAUUCUCUCUGAAAUGAUUAUCUGAUCAUCAUCCUCUCUUCUUCUCCACAAGCUCAAACACUUUCAGUGACUGAUUUGAAACCAGGUAACUUCCCAAAGAUUACAGAACAAGCAUUGGAGACAGGUCUCAUUCCUGGGUUGGCUGGCUCUGAAGCUGUACAUUAAACAUAUUUUCCUGCAUUGUCUCCCGUGGAUAUUAGAUUAAUAUUUGACAAAGCAUGUUCAAUUAGACUCAAAACAAUUCAACAAAAUUUGAGAACCUACCAUGAUCCAGUUCCAAGACGCCUGACACUGUAGAGCUCACAUUCUGUUGUACCGUAUUAUUAGGAAAGGCGCCUUGAUGAAAAGAUCAGGAUAGGAGCUCUGACCAUUCGACAGUGUUUUCCCUAAAGUAAUAAAAAUAAAAUACAAUAAAAAACCCAAAGAGCAUCUUUCCUCGUUUUUGUUUGUUUGUUUGUUUGUUUACAUCUCUUGUGCUGCAUCAGUAGACAGAACUUUGGUCAGUUUCAUGAAAUGCAAUAUCUAACCCCUUGUUUUCUGGGAAAGGAAAAAGGAACUGCAAUGACACGAAGUUGAGAAUGUGGAUACCGCCUCAUUCACCC